Molecule: ribosomal RNA, 429 nt
Filed under: Chloroflexota bacterium
Lineage: Bacteria; Bacillati; Chloroflexota
Description: Chloroflexi bacterium partial 16S ribosomal RNA
Rfam family: Bacterial small subunit ribosomal RNA
Source: RNAcentral
UGGGGAAUAUUGCACAAUGGGCGCAAGCCCGAUGCAGCCAUGCCGCGUGUAUGAAGAAGGCCUUCGGGUUGUAAAGUACUUUCAGCGGGGAGGAAGGGAGUAAAGUUAAUACCUUUGCUCAUUGACGUUACCCGCAGAAGAAGCACCGGCUAACUCCGUGCCAGCAGCCGCGGUAAUACGGAGGGUGCAAGCGUUAAUCGGAAUUACUGGGCGUAAAGCGCACGCAGGCGGUUGAUUGAGUCAGAUGUGAAAUCCCCGGGCUUAACCCGGGAAUUGCAUCUGGUACUUGUCAGCUAGAGUCUUGUAGAGGGGGGUAGAAUUCCAUGUGUAACGGUGAAAAGCGUAGUGAUGUGGAGGAAUACCGGUGGCGGAAGCGGCCCCCUGGACAGAGACUGACGCUCAGGUGCGAAAGAGUGGGGAGCAAACAGG